ACGAUCCUGUAAUGUACGUGAAUCUAUUGUUUUUAACCCACAGAGAUAAUACGGGAGCUCGUGUUUGAUCUUUGGAUGUUAUGCCCUCAAUUUAGAGGGAAGGCAGAAUUAGACAAUAGAGCACCCACCUGCCAAGAGGCGGGUAUAAAAAUAGUAGAAAAACGGCAUUAUGGGAAUAGU
This 180-nucleotide non-coding RNA is filed under the name Clostridiales bacterium. RNAcentral's name for it is "6S RNA". It matches the Rfam family "6S / SsrS RNA". From Rfam's summary of the family: E. coli 6S RNA was the first non coding RNA to be sequenced, but its function was unknown until recently. It consists of 184 nucleotides that fold into an extended hairpin structure with a large single-stranded internal bulge. The 6S RNA specifically associates with RNA polymerase holoenzyme containing the sigma70 specificity factor. Lineage: Bacteria; Bacillati; Bacillota; Clostridia; Eubacteriales. The record is from RNAcentral.